CGCACGCUGCCCGGCACGUGCUGCGCCGCCGCAGGGAGGUGGGGGGAGGUGCGCCGAGGGGGCGGGGCCGCGAGGUGCCAUGGCAACGGGCGGCGCGUUCCCUCAGGAGGCGGUGUUCACGGGACGCGUUAGCGCAGACGCUGAGGGGAAAGAGCACAUGUAUGCUUUCUCAACAGCCGAAAUAGUACGACAGCAUCUUACAGGUGCUCUGGUUUUGAUGCGCACUCAGCUUGCUGGGUCUGACAGCUCAAUGUACUGUGCUCAGGAAUUCAGUUUCCAGAGUGAAGUCCAUGACUGAGGCAUCCGUAGGGGUUACGUGCCAACAGGAUGAGCAGGAAAAGCCCUGUUACUAUGAGGCUAUUAAAAAGGUAGAAAAAUACAUGUAGAAUAGGCAAGAACUGCUCCUUAGAAGUGCCACCAAGGUAAAUGAAGAGUGUGGGAAUCUGUGUGUGCAGGAGCCAGAGUUAAAGCAGCCUUCAGAAUCUCCUUGCACCGGAGAGAGAAGGAGUUACCGAGGUUUAAAAGGAUGCUGUCAUGAGGCAGUGUUGGUGGGGGCCACUCUUAGUCCAUCCAUAAAGAGGAACACCUGUGUAAACCUGGGACUGCAGCUUGUUCUAUAGAACAGAGAAGUGAGUAAGUGAAGAUCUAUCCAUCUGCCUGCAAAACAUGAAGCAGCUAUACAAAAUGCCUAACAGCUGGUCACGGGGGCAAGUUCCUGUGCUGUAAAUUACAGGAUGUUGCCUGUGAGUCCACACAACAUGACAGUGCCAUCGAGAGAAUGUUUUCUUGAAGGCACUUCUGCACUGUGAGAUGAGCUUCUGGCUGAGCUAGACGGAG
This is a non-coding RNA of Meleagris gallopavo (turkey), 837 nucleotides long. The record is from RefSeq and is a predicted model, not a curated record. Lineage: Eukaryota; Metazoa; Chordata; Aves; Galliformes; Phasianidae.